UCCCUGGCAGUCUAGUGGCUAGGCCUUGGCGUUUUCACAGCUAUGGCCCAGGUUCAAUUCCUAGUCAAGGAA
RNAcentral lists this transfer RNA (72 nucleotides) under Sus scrofa (pig). It matches the Rfam family "tRNA". From Rfam's summary of the family: Transfer RNA (tRNA) molecules are approximately 80 nucleotides in length. Their secondary structure includes four short double-helical elements and three loops (D, anti-codon, and T loops). Further hydrogen bonds mediate the characteristic L-shaped molecular structure. tRNAs have two regions of fundamental functional importance: the anti-codon, which is responsible for specific mRNA codon recognition, and the 3' end, to which the tRNAs corresponding amino acid is attached (by aminoacyl-tRNA synthetases). tRNAs cope with the degeneracy of the genetic code in two manners: having more than one tRNA (with a specific anti-codon) for a particular amino acid; and 'wobble' base-pairing, i.e. permitting non-standard base-pairing at the 3rd anti-codon position. Lineage: Eukaryota; Metazoa; Chordata; Mammalia; Artiodactyla; Suidae. The record is from Rfam by way of RNAcentral.